AACAGGACGUCAUAGAGGGUGAGAAUCCCGUACGUGACCGGCNGUCAACYCCAUGUGAGGCUCCUUCGACGAGUCGAGUUGUUUGGGAAUGCAGCUCUAAAUGGGUGGUAAAUUUCAUCUAAAGCUAAAUACCGGCCAGAGACCGAUAGCGCACAAGUAGAGUGAUCGAAAGAUGAAAAGCACUUUGAAAAGAGAGUUAAAAAGUACGUGAAAUUGUUGAAAGGGAAGCGCUUGCAACCAGACUUGCCCGCAGGCGAUCUUCCGUUUUUCGGAGCCACCGCACGUGGAGCAGGCCAGUAUCGGUUUUGGCAGUCGGACAAAGUUCCUGGGAACGUAGCUCCUCUCGGGGAGUGUUAUAGCCCGGGGUGCAAUGCGAUUAGUUGGGACCGAGGACCGCGCUUCGGCUAGGAUACUGGCGUAAUGGUUGUAAGCGACCCGUCUUGAAACACGGACCAAGGAGUCUAACAUCUAUGCGAGUGUUUGGGUGUCAAACCCAUACGCGUAAUGAAAGUAAACGGAGGUGGGAACCUUAGGGGGCACCAUCGACCGAUCCUGAUGUCUUCGGAUGGAUUUGAGUACGAGCAUAGCUGUUGGGACCCGAAAGAUGGUGAACUAUGCCUGAAUAGGGUGAAGCCAGAGGAAACUCUGGUGGAGGCUCGCAGCGGUUCUGACGUGCAAAUCGAUCGUCAAAUUUGGGUAUAGGGGCGAAAGACUAAUCGAACCAUCUAGU
RNAcentral lists this ribosomal RNA (730 nucleotides) under Lambiella caeca. Its description in RNAcentral is "eukaryotic LSU rRNA". It matches the Rfam family "Eukaryotic large subunit ribosomal RNA", at positions 194 to 948 of the family's 3401-position model. Lineage: Eukaryota; Fungi; Ascomycota; Lecanoromycetes; Baeomycetales; Xylographaceae. The record is from RNAcentral.